Molecule: microRNA precursor, 100 nt
Organism: Aotus nancymaae (Ma's night monkey)
Lineage: Eukaryota; Metazoa; Chordata; Mammalia; Primates; Aotidae
Source: Ensembl
GAGGUGGGAGGAUGGCUUGAGCCCAGGAGGUUGAGGUUGCAGUGAGCCAUGUUCACACCACUGCACUCCAGCCUGAGUGACAGAGCAAGAACCUGUCUCA